AGAGUUUGAUCAUGGCUCAGAGCGAACGCUGGCGGCAGGCCUAACACAUGCAAGUCGAGCGCCGUAGCAAUACGGAGCGGCAGACGGGAGAGUAACACGUGGGAACGUGCCCUUUGGUUCGGAACAACCCAGGGAAACUUGGGCUAAUACCGGAUAAGCCCUUACGGGGAAAGAUUUAUCGCCGAAGGAUCGGCCCGCGUCUGAUUAGCUAGUUGGUGGGGUAACGGCCCACCAAGGCGACGAUCAGUAGCUGGUCUGAGAGGAUGAUCAGCCUCACUGGGACUGAGACACGGCCCAGACUCCUACGGGAGGCAGUAGUGGGGAAUAUUGGACAAUGGGCGCAAGCCUGAUCCAGCCAUGCCGCGUGGGUGAUGAAGGCCCUAGGGUUGUAAAGCCCUUUCGGCGGGGAAGAUAAUGACGGUACCCGCAGAAGAAGCCCCGGCUAACUUCGUGCCAGCAGCCGCGGUAAUACGAAGGGGGCUAGCGUUGCUCGGAAUCACUGGGCGUAAAGCGCACGUAGGCGGCUUCUUAAGUCAGGGGUGAAAUCCUGGAGCUCAACUCCAGAACUGCCCUUGAUACUGAGGAGCUUGAGUCCGGGAGAGGUGAGUGGAACUGCGAGUGUAGAGGUGAAAUUCGUAGAUAUUCGCAAGAACACCAGUGGCGAAGGCGGCUCACUGGCCCGGUACUGACGCUGAGGUGCGAAAGCGUGGGGAGCAAACAGGAUUAGAUACCCUAGUAGUCC
Molecule: ribosomal RNA, 742 nt
Filed under: uncultured bacterium
Lineage: Bacteria
Description: bacterial SSU rRNA
Rfam family: Bacterial small subunit ribosomal RNA
Source: RNAcentral